GUAAGGAAUAUUGGGCAAUGGAGGAAACUCUGACCCAGCCAUGCCGCGUGCAGGACGACAGCCCUAGUGGUUGUAAACUGCUUUUAUACGGGAAGAAACACUCCGACGUGUCGGAAUUUGACGGUACCGUAUGAAUAAGCAUCGGCUAACUCCGUGCCAGCAGCCGCGGUAAUACGGAGGAUGCAAGCGUUAUCCGGAUUUAUUGGGUUUAAAGGGUGUGUAGGCGGAAUGGUAAGUCAGUGGUGAAAUCCUACAGCUUAACUGUAGAACUGCCAUUGAAACUGCUGUUCUUGAGUAUAGUUGAGGUGGGCGGAAUGUGUCAUGUAGCGGUGAAAUGCAUAGAUAUGACACGGAACACCGAUUGCGAAGGCAGCUCACUAAACUAUUACUGACGCUGAGGCACGAAAGCGUGGGGAGCGAACAGG
This 425-nucleotide ribosomal RNA is filed under the name uncultured bacterium. RNAcentral describes it as "bacterial SSU rRNA". It matches the Rfam family "Bacterial small subunit ribosomal RNA", at positions 354 to 776 of the family's 1533-position model. The record is from RNAcentral.